This 900-nucleotide ribosomal RNA is filed under the name Pseudomonas chlororaphis. RNAcentral's name for it is "partial 23S ribosomal RNA". It matches the Rfam family "Bacterial large subunit ribosomal RNA", at positions 336 to 1237 of the family's 2925-position model. The record is from RNAcentral. Lineage: Bacteria; Pseudomonadati; Pseudomonadota; Gammaproteobacteria; Pseudomonadales; Pseudomonadaceae.
AAGCGACCUGGAAAGGUCCGUCGUAGAGGGUAACAACCCCGUAGUCGAAACUUCGUUCUCUCUUGAAUGUAUCCUGAGUACGGCGGAACACGUGAAAUUCCGUCGGAAUCUGGGAGGACCAUCUCCCAAGGCUAAAUACUCCCUAGUGAUCGAUAGUGAACCAGUACCGUGAGGGAAAGGUGAAAAGCACCCCGGAAGGGGAGUGAAAGAGAUCCUGAAACCGUGUGCCUACAAAUAGUCAGAGCCCGUUAAUGGGUGAUGGCGUGCCUUUUGUAGAAUGAACCGGCGAGUUACGAUCCCGUGCAAGGUUAAGCUGAAGAGGCGGAGCCGCAGCGAAAGCGAGUCUGAAUAGGGCGUUUAGUACGUGGUCGUAGACCCGAAACCAGGUGAUCUACCCAUGUCCAGGGUGAAGUUCAGGUAACACUGAAUGGAGGCCCGAACCCACGCACGUUGAAAAGUGCGGGGAUGAGGUGUGGGUAGCGGAGAAAUUCCAAUCGAACCUGGAGAUAGCUGGUUCUCCCCGAAAUAGCUUUAGGGCUAGCCUUAAGUGUAAGAGUCUUGGAGGUAGAGCACUGAUUGAACUAGGGGUCCUCAUCGGAUUACCGAAUUCAGUCAAACUCCGAAUGCCAAUGACUUAUCCUUAGGAGUCAGACUGCGAGUGAUAAGAUCCGUAGUCAAGAGGGAAACAGCCCAGAUCGCCAGCUAAGGUCCCAAAGUGUGUAUUAAGUGGAAAAGGAUGUGGAGUUGCUUAGACAACUAGGAUGUUGGCUUAGAAGCAGCCACCAUUUAAAGAGUGCGUAAUAGCUCACUAGUCGAGUGACUCUGCGCCGAAAAUGUACCGGGGCUAAAUACACCACCGAAGCUGCGAAUUGAUACCAAUGGUAUCAGUGGUAGGGGAGC